Molecule: long non-coding RNA, 283 nt
Filed under: Prunus persica (peach)
Lineage: Eukaryota; Viridiplantae; Streptophyta; Magnoliopsida; Rosales; Rosaceae
Description: long non-coding RNA (PPER_LNC003462)
Source: RNAcentral
GCCAAUUCAAGGGAACAUUGGUGGCUGGUUUAAAAAUUGCUAUGGGCUUUGUGACCUUGGGCUGGGUGUGCCAAAUUAAGCCCAAACAGUAACCCGAGCAGUUUGUAAGCCAUGUUUGAACAUGGUGUACAUAGGUCUCUCUUGAGCUCCCUACUGUCCUCCCAUAUAUGGGAUAGUUAGGGAUUAACCCAACUAGUUGGUCCAUAAUUUGUUUCAUCAUCUUGAGCUCCAUAACUAGUUCCCCUAUAAUCAGACAUACAUAACCAUAGCCAUUAUAAGAUUC